This 497-nucleotide ribosomal RNA is filed under the name uncultured bacterium. RNAcentral's name for it is "partial 16S ribosomal RNA". It matches the Rfam family "Bacterial small subunit ribosomal RNA", at positions 28 to 507 of the family's 1533-position model. The record is from RNAcentral.
GAUGAACGCUGGCGGCGUGCCUAAUACAUGCAAGUCGAGCGGACAGGCGAGGAGCUUGCUCCACUGACGUUAACGGCGGACGGGUGAGUAACACGUGGAGAACCUACCUAUAGGACUGGGAUAACUUCGGGAGACCGGAGCUGAUACCGGAUAAUAUAUUGAACCGCGUGGUUCAAUAAUGAAAGACGGUUUGGAUGUCACUUAUGGAUAGAUCCGCGCCGCAUUAGCUAGUUGGUAAGGUAACGGCUUACCAAGGCGACGAUGCGUAGCCGACCUGAGAGGGGGAUCGGCCACACUGGAACUGAGACACGGUCCAGACUCCUACGGGAGGCAGCAGUAGGGAACCUUCCGCAAUGGGCGAAAGCCUGACGGAGCAACGCCGCGUGAGUGAUGAAGGUCUUCGGAUCGUAAAACUCUGUUAUUAGGGAAGAACAACUGUGUAAGUAACUAUGCACGUCUUGACGGUACCUAAUCAGAAAGCCACGGCUAACUACGUG